RNAcentral lists this ribosomal RNA (253 nucleotides) under uncultured bacterium. RNAcentral's name for it is "partial 16S ribosomal RNA". It matches the Rfam family "Bacterial small subunit ribosomal RNA", at positions 524 to 776 of the family's 1533-position model. The record is from RNAcentral.
UACGUAGGGGGCAAGCGUUGUCCGGAUUUAUUGGGCGUAAAGAGCGUGUAGGCGGCCAGGUAGGUCUGGUGUGAAAACUCGAGGCUUAACCUCGAGAUGUCAUCGGAAACCAUUUGGCUAGAGUCCGGAAGAGGAGAGUGGAAUUCCUGGUGUAGCGGUGAAAUGCGCAGAUAUCAGGAAGAACACCAAUGGCGAAAGCAGCUCUCUGGGGCGGUACUGACGCUGAGACGCGAAAGCGUGGGGAGCGAACAGG